UGGGGAAUAUUGCACAAUGGAGGGAACUCUGAUGCAGCGACGCCGCGUGAACGAAGAAGGCUUUCGAGUCGUAAAGUUCUUUUAUAUGGGAAGAUAAUGACGGUACCAUAAGAAAAAGCCCCGGCUAACUACGUGCCAGCAGCCGCGGUAAUACGUAGGGGGCUAGCGUUGUGCGGAAUCACUGGGCGUAAAGGGUUCGCAGGCGGAAAUGCAAGUCAGGUGUAAAAGGCAGUAGCUUAACUACUGUAAGCAUUUGAAACUGCAUAUCUUGAGAAGAGUAGAGGUAAGUGGAAUUUUUAGUGUAGCGGUGAAAUGCGUAGAUAUUAAAAAGAAUACCGGUGGCGAAGGCGACUUACUGGGCUCAUUCUGACGCUGAGGAACGAAAGCGUGGGUAGCAAACAGG
Molecule: ribosomal RNA, 403 nt
Filed under: Verrucomicrobiota bacterium
Lineage: Bacteria; Pseudomonadati; Verrucomicrobiota
Also listed under: 1 other name
Description: Verrucomicrobia bacterium partial 16S ribosomal RNA
Rfam family: Bacterial small subunit ribosomal RNA
Source: RNAcentral